Long non-coding RNA from Rhipicephalus sanguineus (brown dog tick), 189 nucleotides. RefSeq lists it as uncharacterized. The transcript is spliced from 3 exons. Lineage: Eukaryota; Metazoa; Arthropoda; Arachnida; Ixodida; Ixodidae. The record is from RefSeq and is a predicted model, not a curated record.
GAAUAUGUUCGAGAGCCAGGAAGCUCUAUAAACAGAGCAAAUUAUCCUCUUCCUCCAAGACCAGAUCACGCUCACCUGAAUCCGACUUAUGUUGAGCUGGGCGACCCGAGCUUGGACAGAGUGCAUAAGCCUCUCCCUGUACCACCUUAUGACGGCAAAAGUCCACCUCCUACUGUGCCUUCUCUUCCA